CCCGAGCUAUCGCCCCCUUCGUCUUGGC
This 28-nucleotide small RNA is filed under the name Bombyx mori (domestic silkworm). RNAcentral describes it as "ovarian small RNA-13683". Lineage: Eukaryota; Metazoa; Arthropoda; Insecta; Lepidoptera; Bombycidae. The record is from RNAcentral.